Molecule: ribosomal RNA, 253 nt
Filed under: uncultured bacterium
Lineage: Bacteria
Description: partial 16S ribosomal RNA
Rfam family: Bacterial small subunit ribosomal RNA
Source: RNAcentral
UACAGAGGGGGCAAGCGUUGUUCGGAAUUACUGGGCGUAAAGGGCGCGUAGGUGGCCUUCUAAGUUGAACGUGAAAUCCCUGGGCUCAACCCAGGAACUGCGUCCAAGACUGGGAGGCUUGAAUCCGGGAGAGGGAUGCGGAAUUCCAGGUGUAGCGGUGAAAUGCGUAGAUAUCAGGAGGAACACCGGUGGCGAAGGCGGCUUGCUGGGCCUUACCUGACGCUGAGGAGCGAAAGCGUGGGGAGCGAACAGG